GUGCCCAUCCGCUCCCCAGAAACUCAACAGUGUUGUGUCGGUCGGUGGAGUUUGGGUUGCCGUAGACGAUGGGGGAGUGCCCCAGGGUCACUGCCGCCGGUCUUCGGUUUCUUGUCGUGAAAAAGCCAUCACCACAUCCUCCGCACCUGGUGACCCACAUCCAAAAACAGAGGUUCCCAGUCCCCUAGAGAUCUCAUCCAAUGAGGAUGUGGCAAAGAACACCCCUAUGCUACAAAAUGGCCCUGCCAGGGAAGGAGAACGAGAUGCGGCACAUCAGAGGAAAUAAAUGGCACAAAUCCUGACUGAAUUUGAAUGUGGCACGUCUUGACAAAUUUAAUUUAAAAAAAAUAUUGAACUGAUAUGCUUCUCCACUUCACAUGAAAUGGACUUGGCCCAUAAAAUGGUAAAAUUCAAUUGACACAUAAAAUGUUAAGAAGCUCAUAAAAAUGGCAUACACAGUAAUCAUACAAGGAUCAAAUAAAUGCAAUAAUACAAUAAACAUUGUAAGGUGCAGGGAGAAGACCACAGAGAAGGUAAUAUUCAAGUAUUAUUAUUAUUCUUAUUUUUUAAAUACGUUAUGGGGAGGGGAAAAAAAGUGUUGAAUUUAGGGCUGACCCCAUUUAGUCAACUGGUCGACUGUUUGGUUGAUAGGCUAUUGGUCGACUGAUUUUUUUUGUCAAGAAGUAGCAAAUAUAUCAUUUUUUUCAUGGCCCAGGAGACACCUGUCUGAUUAUCCCGUCUCAGUGGACUAAACCAUUGCGGAGGCCGCGGGGAUGGCAUAGUCCAAUAAGGAGGAGAGUGUUGCUAAGAUGCACAAGGCACUUCUCUCUCCAGAAUGAGCUCUCUCCCGCCACUUUGUGCACAUUCAUUGUUUUAUAACUUCAUUGUGUGAAUUGUUUUCCCUUUGACUGUUAGCAUCUAUCAAUUCCCCAUUACAUAUAUCACCAGUAGAAUACUUACCGUUAACUCACAUCAUUUCUAAUCUACAAUGUUUGUUUGGUUAAGGUAUAUAUUUUUGUUAAUCCAUUUAAUAUAUUAUUAUUCCAGUCAUUUACCUUUAUUAUUGUUGGACUGGACACAGUUUGCAGAGCUCACAACCUAUGCUACACGUUUUGGUUUAUUUCAUUCCAUUAACGAGUUGUCAAUUUAUUCAUUGUCUUUUAAGGAAGUAAGGAUGUGCACCUGAUUACGUGUAGAAGUAGGCCUAGGCUACCUGGCCUGCGCGCAAAUGUAGGCCUAUAAAUGUGCCCAUUUGGGGAUGUCUGA
Salmo salar (Atlantic salmon) is the source of this 1266-nucleotide long non-coding RNA. RefSeq lists it as uncharacterized. Lineage: Eukaryota; Metazoa; Chordata; Actinopteri; Salmoniformes; Salmonidae. The record is from RefSeq and is a predicted model, not a curated record.